GCGAUACAGGGUGACAGCCCCGUACACAAAAAUGCACAUGCUGUGAGCUCGAUGAGUAGGGCGGGACACGUGGUAUCCUGUCUGAAUAUGGGGGGACCAUCCUCCAAGGCUAAAUACUCCUGACUGACCGAUAGUGAACCAGUACCGUGAGGGAAAGGCGAAAAGAACCCCGGCGAGGGGAGUGAAAAAGAACCUGAAACCGUGUACGUACAAGCAGUGGGAGCACAGAGCAAUCUGUGUGACUGCGUACCUUUUGUAUAAUGGGUCAGCGACUUAUAUUCUGUAGCAAGGUUAACCGAAUAGGGGAGCCGAAGGGAAACCGAGUCUUAACUGGGCGUUAAGUUGCAGGGUAUAGACCCGAAACCCGGUGAUCUAGCCAUGGGCAGGUUGAAGGUUGGGUAACACUAACUGGAGGACCGAACCGACUAAUGUUGAAAAAUUAGCGGAUGACUUGUGGCUGGGGGUGAAAGGCCAAUCAAACCGGGAGAUAGCUGGUUCUCCCCGAAAGCUAUUUAGGUAGCGCCUCGUGAAUUCAUCUCCGGGGGUAGAGCACUGUUUCGGCAAGGGGGUCAUCCCGACUUACCAACCCGAUGCAAACUGCGAAUACCGGAGAAUGUUAUCACGGGAGACACACGGCGGGUGCUAACGUCCGUCGUGAAGAGGGAAACAACCCAGACCGCCAGCUAAGGUCCCAAAGUCAUGGUUAAGUGGGAAACGAUGUGGGAAGGCCCAGACAGCCAGGAUGUUGGCUUAGAAGCAGCCAUCAUUUAAAGAAAGCGUAAUAGCUCACUGGUCGAGUCGGCCUGCGCGGAAGAUGUAACGGGGCUAAACCAUGCACCGAAGCUGCGGCAGCGACACUAUGUGUUGUUGGGUAGGGGAGCGUUCUGUAAGCCUGCGAAGGUGUGCUGUGAGGCAUGCUGGAGGUAUCAGAAGUGCGAAUGCUGACAUAAGUAACGAUAAAGCGGGUGAAAAGCCCGCUCGCCGGAAGACCAAGGGUUCCUGUCCAACGUUAAUCGGGGCAGGGUGAGUCGACCCCUAAGGCGAGGCCGAAAGGCGUAGUCGAUGGGAAACAAGUUAAUAUUCCUGUACUUGGUGUUACUGCGAAGGGGGGACGGAGAAGGCUAUGUUGGCCGGGCGACGGUUGUCCCGGUUUAAGCGUGUAGGCUGGUUUUCCAGGCAAAUCCGGAAAAUCAAGGCUGAGGCGUGAUGACGAGGCACUACGGUGCUGAAGCAACAAAUGCCCUGCUUCCAGGAAAAGCCUCUAAGCAUCAGGUAACAUCAAAUCGUACCCCAAACCGACACAGGUGGUCAGGUAGAGAAUACCAAGGCGCUUGAGAGAACUCGGGUGAAGGAACUAGGCAAAAUGGUGCCGUAACUUCGGGAGAAGGCACGCUGAUAUGUAGGUGAAGUCCCUUGCUCAUGGAGCUGAAAUCAGUCGAAGAUACCAGCUGGCUGCAACUGUUUAUUAAAAACACAGCACUGUGCAAACACGAAAGUGGACGUAUACGGUGUGACGCCUGCCCGGUGCCGGAAGGUUAAUUGAUGGGGUCAGCGCAAGCGAAGCUCUUGAUCGAAGCCCCGGUAAACGGCGGCCGUAACUAUAACGGUCCUAAGGUAGCGAAAUUCCUUGUCGGGUAAGUUCCGACCUGCACGAAUGGCGUAAUGAUGGCCAGGCUGUCUCCACCCGAGACUCAGUGAAAUUGAACUCGCUGUGAAGAUGCAGUGUACCCGCGGCAAGACGGAAAGACCCCGUGAACCUUUACUAUAGCUUGACACUGAACAUUGAGCCUUGAUGUGUAGGAUAGGUGGGAGGCUUUGAAGUGUGGACGCCAGUCUGCAUGGAGCCGACCUUGAAAUACCACCCUUUAAUGUUUGAUGUUCUAACGUUGACCCGUGAUCCGGGUUGCGGACAGUGUCUGGUGGGUAGUUUGACUGGGGCGGUCUCCUCCUAAAGAGUAACGGAGGAGCACGAAGGUUGGCUAAUCCUGGUCGGACAUCAGGAGGUUAGUGCAAUGGCAUAAGCCAGCUUGACUGCGAGCGUGACGGCGCGAGCAGGUGCGAAAGCAGGUCAUAGUGAUCCGGUGGUUCUGAAUGGAAGGGCCAUCGCUCAACGGAUAAAAGGUACUCCGGGGAUAACAGGCUGAUACCGCCCAAGAGUUCAUAUCGACGGCGGUGUUUGGCACCUCGAUGUCGGCUCAUCACAUCCUGGGGCUGAAGUAGGUCCCAAGGGUAUGGCUGUUCGCCAUUUAAAGUGGUACGCGAGCUGGGUUUAGAACGUCGUGAGACAGUUCGGUCCCUAUCUGCCGUGGGCGCUGGAGAACUGAGGGGGGCUGCUCCUAGUACGAGAGGACCGGAGUGGACGCAUCACUGGUGUUCGGGUUGUCAUGCCAAUGGCACUGCCCGGUAGCUAAAUGCGGAAGAGAUAAGUGCUGAAAGCAUCUAAGCACGAAACUUGCCCCGAGAUGAGUUCUCCCUGACUCCUUGAGAGUCCUGAAGGAACGUUGAAGACGACGACGUUGAUAGGCCGGGUGUGUAAGCGCAGCGAUGCGUUGAGCUAACCGGUACUAAUGAACCGUGAGGCUUAACCUU
Molecule: ribosomal RNA, 2589 nt
Filed under: Escherichia coli KOEGE 33 (68a)
Lineage: Bacteria; Pseudomonadati; Pseudomonadota; Gammaproteobacteria; Enterobacterales; Enterobacteriaceae
Description: bacterial LSU rRNA
Rfam family: Bacterial large subunit ribosomal RNA
Source: RNAcentral